RNAcentral lists this transfer RNA (70 nucleotides) under Gammaproteobacteria bacterium. RNAcentral describes it as "tRNA-OTHER". The record is from RNAcentral. Lineage: Bacteria; Pseudomonadati; Pseudomonadota; Gammaproteobacteria.
GGGGGCGGCAGGUUGCUAGCUGGGUCUCCAAAACUCGGGCUAUCGGGUUCAAAUCCCGACGCCUCCACCA